Molecule: ribosomal RNA, 497 nt
Filed under: uncultured bacterium
Lineage: Bacteria
Description: partial 16S ribosomal RNA
Rfam family: Bacterial small subunit ribosomal RNA
Source: RNAcentral
GAUGAACGCUGGCGGCGUGCCUAAUACAUGCAAGUCGAGCGAACGGACGAGAAGCUUGCUUCUCUGAUGUUAGCGGCGGACGGGUGAGUAACACGUGGAUAACCUACCUAUAAGACUGGGCUAACUUAGGGAACCCGGAGCUAAUACCGGAUAAUAUUUUGAACCGCAUGGUUCAAAAGUGAAAGACGGUCUUGCUGUCACUUAUAGAUGGAUCCGCGCUGCAUUAGCUAGUUGGUAAGGUAACGGCUUACCAAGUCAACGAUGCAUAGCCGACCUGAGAGGGUGAUCGGCCACACUGGAACUGAGACACGGUCCAGACUCCUACGGGAGGCAGCAGUAGGGAAUCUUCCGCAAUGGGCGGAAGCCUGACGGAGCAACGCCACGUGAGUGAUGAAGGGCUUCGGAUCGUAAAACUCUGUUAUUAGGGAAGAACAUAUGUGUAAGUAACUGUGCACACCUUGACGGUACCUAAUCAGAAAGCCACGGCUAACUACGUG